GCCCCAAUAGCUCAGUGGUUUAGAGCAUUUGUUUUACACGCAAAAAGUCGGUGGUUCGAUUCCAUCUUGGGGUA
Molecule: transfer RNA, 74 nt
Filed under: Candidatus Riesia sp.
Lineage: Bacteria; Pseudomonadati; Pseudomonadota; Gammaproteobacteria; Enterobacterales; Enterobacteriaceae
Description: tRNA-Val
Rfam family: tRNA
About the family: Transfer RNA (tRNA) molecules are approximately 80 nucleotides in length. Their secondary structure includes four short double-helical elements and three loops (D, anti-codon, and T loops).
Source: RNAcentral